This 164-nucleotide ribosomal RNA is filed under the name uncultured bacterium. Its description in RNAcentral is "partial 16S rRNA". It matches the Rfam family "Bacterial small subunit ribosomal RNA", at positions 355 to 511 of the family's 1533-position model. The record is from RNAcentral.
UAGGGAAUCUUCCACAAUGGACGCAAGUCUGAUGGAGCAACGCCGCGUGAGUGAAGAAGGGUUUCGGCUCGUAAAGCUCUGUUGUUAAAGAAGAACGUGGGUAAGAGUAACUGUUCUUGUAUUGACGGUAUCUAACCAGAAAGCCACGGCUAACUACGUGCCAG